CCUACGGGAGGCAGCAGUGAGGAAUAUUGGUCAAUGGACGAGAGUCUGAACCAGCCAAGUAGCGUGAAGGAUGACUGCCCUAUGGGUUGUAAACUUCUUUUAUAUGGGAAUAAAAUGUUCCACGUGUGGGAUUUUGUAUGUACCAUAUGAAUAAGGAUCGGCUAACUCCGUGCCAGCAGCCGCGGUAAUACGGAGGAUCCGAGCGUUAUCCGGAUUUAUUGGGUUUAAAGGGAGCGUAGGUGGGUUGUUAAGUCAGUUGUGAAAGUUUGCGGCUCAACCGUAAAAUUGCAGUUGAAACUGGCAGUCUUGAGUACAGUAGAGGUGGGCGGAAUUCGUGGUGUAGCGGUGAAAUGCUUAGAUAUCACGAAGAACUCCGAUUGCGAAGGCAGUUCACUAGACUGCAACUGACACUGAGGCUCGAAAGUGUGGGUAUCAAACAGGAUUAGAUACCCUUGUAGUC
This 460-nucleotide ribosomal RNA is filed under the name uncultured bacterium. Its description in RNAcentral is "partial 16S ribosomal RNA". It matches the Rfam family "Bacterial small subunit ribosomal RNA", at positions 338 to 795 of the family's 1533-position model. The record is from RNAcentral.